Long non-coding RNA from Engraulis encrasicolus (European anchovy), 1268 nucleotides. RefSeq lists it as uncharacterized. NCBI's taxonomy places the organism in Eukaryota, Metazoa, Chordata, Actinopteri, Clupeiformes, Engraulidae. The record is from RefSeq and is a predicted model, not a curated record. The transcript is spliced from 5 exons.
GGUUGACACGCAUGCUCAUUUACGUGAGACCGACUUCAUCCUGGGAAUCUUUUCGGCGGGACCUUAGUAGUCUAGUAAUAAACCUGGACUUGAUGUACUAUCUACUGAACUAGGAUAUUGUGCUGUGUAUUUUGCAUUAAGGAGGAUCCAUCAGCUCACUAACACGGGUGAUGGACAGGGACCAAAGAGGAGGCUCUACAACAUGAGGACAGACUGCGAUCCUCAAGCAGUCAGUCCAUGAGCCCACGUCUUCAGGCCAGGGACCCGAGAGGAAUUUCCAGUGACAUGGAUCAACAGAGAUCCUCAAACAGUCAGUCCAUGUGCCACGUUCCAGCCAGGGACCAAAAGGGGGGCUUUCGUCAUGGGGCCAGACAGACAUCCUCAAGCAAGAAAUAGAGAGAUGCAUCCAGGCCACCCACUAGGAGGUGGAACAUCUUACGAAGAGGUGGCUGUACCUGGCGGCAGACUGAGAUGGGGUGAGGAAGAGGAGAAGCACAGACCAAGAACGGAAUGUCAGACAUUUGCCCUUUUUAUGCCCAGCGCACGCACGCACACACACACACACACACACACACACACACACACCGGCAUAUAAACAUGCAUAUAGACACAGGCGCACGUGCACACACAUACACGCACUCUCAAACAAGAUGGGAGUCUCUGGUGAUGUUGGCAAAUAAUCUGAAUCGGUACACACUGCAAUGAUUCCACCAUCAUGCCCCACCUACGCGAGUCCUGUCCUUCAGCAUUGACUUACUCCCCAGGUGUGGUGUGCCUUCAUCCGAACCACAAUGGCAUCCCAAGCAGCAACAAACACCUGCACACAUGCAUGCUACAGUACACACACAAACACACUGGACUGUGAACUAGGUCAGACACACACACACACACGCUCAAAGUAGCCAAGAUCGAAAAGGCUGCAUCGGUGGCUUGACUUCAUCCAUUUUUUGGAGGAACACCUUUGUCAAUUUUGAGGAACUUUGUUGUGGGAAGAUAUUUUAAAAUUUGAUAGUCAGUCUUGUAUACCCAUUCGCUUCACUAUGAUGUAUUUUGUAAUUGAAUAUGGAUGAUUUAUGCCACAGUGCUGAAUUAACACAUCUUGACAAAGAUGUCACCUUAAAAAGUAUGUUUGGUACCUGUGGGUCAAAUGUCUCAGGAGCUCCCUGACUGCAGAACGUCUCAGGAAAUUACUCAACUUUUUAUAUUGUAUGCAGGGUGCGAUUUGUCAGAAAACCAGAAGGGGGAUGUGUUUCAGAUGUCAAGCAAUA